Molecule: unclassified non-coding RNA, 432 nt
Filed under: soil metagenome
Description: partial contains 5.8S ribosomal RNA, internal transcribed spacer 2, and large subunit ribosomal RNA
Rfam family: 5.8S ribosomal RNA (bases 1-120)
Source: RNAcentral
GAUGAAGAACGCAGCGAAAUGCGAUACGUAAUGUGAAUUGCAGAAUUCAGUGAAUCAUCGAAUCUUUGAACGCAUAUUGCGCUCUCUGGUAUUCCGGAGAGCAUGCUUGUUUGAGUAUCAGUAAACACCUCAACUUCCAUAUCUUUUUUGAAAUGGGAGUUGGACUUGAGUGAUCCCAACGCUUUUCCUCACCGAAAAGUGGCGGGUUACUUGAAAUGCAGGUGCAGCUGGACUUUUCUCUGAGCUAUAAGCAUAUCUAUUUAGUCUGCCUAAAAAACAGAUUAUUACCUUUGCUGCAGCUAACAUAAAGGAGAUUAGUUCUUGUGCUGACAGAUGCAGGAUUCACAAAGACGGCUUCGGCCGACUUUGUAAACUCGAUCUCAAAUCAAGUAAGACUACCCGCUGAACUUAAGCAUAUCAAUAAGCGGAGGA